AUCUAUCUCAUCACACUCCCCUGCAUAUCCCUUCACUCAAUCUUCUCUCGAAUCAAAUUCAAAUUACUAAGUGACUUUCAAGGACUUUAACAAUGAAGCCCCUUCCUAUAUCUCAGCUUGUGAUCUGAAAAUACAAUCCUUCACACAACCUACAUUCUACUUCUUCUCCUUUUAUAACUUCAUCCCAUUCCUGACUGCAAGACUUUGCUUGGGCUUCUGCCUGAAUCUGGAACUCUCUGCCUCAAGCAAUCAGACUCUCCCCUUCCUUCUAAACUUUCAAACGCUCCCUAAAGAACCACCUGUUUAGAGAAACAUAUUCUAUGCAUCUUGAUUGAUCAACUUAUUAUAAAUCACCAGUUGUUUCAUAUUCUUUAUAUUUCAAAUUUACCCUAACCCUUAAGGUUGUAAGAUAUUGCGAGUAGGGCCCUCUGAUCGUAUUUUAAAAACUGUAACCCUUGUUUGUUAAACUAUUGUAAGUCCCCUGUUAGUUAUAAAUUAAUAUAAAGCAUUGCAUAACUUGCUGGCACUAUAUAAAUUUAGUGAUGAUGUAUUAGGUUUGUUCCCUAACAAAACUGCACUGGCUGGAGGAAAAACUGCAUUGCCCCUUUGUUGUGCCCAUGCACAAUAGAGGGAAAUGUGCAGUUUUGCUUUACUGCACCUGCAUGAGUGGCAAUCAGUACUAGGGAUGCUGGGAAAAUGUAAUCAAAGUUCUGGUGCAGCAUUUAGCAAUAUGUAACAUUUGGCACCCCUCCAAUAAAAUAGGGCUUACAUAUCCUCUAACCACAAAAAGAGAGCUUAUGAACACAUGUAAGUGUAAACAAAAAGUGGUACAGGUCCACCAUAUCCUCAGGGAUGCAAAAAUCCAUAGAAAGAAAAAAAAAAAAUAUAUAUAUUUUUUGUCUUUCUACCAAUUCACAUGUCCUUUAAGCCCAUAACAGAGUGGUCAACAAAGCUGCACAUACAAAUCACACAUUCCAAUACAGAUGUAUUGCAAUAUGUCGUCUGUGUAUGUGGUUUUGCUGAUGUCUGUGUGUCCCUUUUGGUGUCCUUCUCGGACUUUGUUUGCCCAUCUCUUUUGUAUGUGAGUGUAUUCCUAUUUGCCUUUGCCUAAUGGUGUUUGGCUGUAAGGGUCACAGCACAUGGUAAGAUUUGUCGCCUGUGAUAGUACUACGCUACAAUGGGUGAUAAAUCUCUCAGAAAAUGCUUUCCUCUGGCAAUAAUGUAAAUCACCCGAGGGAAAACAUGCACAUUUUCAUUUUUCUGAAGUUGCCCAACUUAGGGUGAUUUUAGACAAACAAAGUGACAUUUCUCCAGAAUAGGCAAACUUAACCUUUAUUUCAUCCCCAAAUUUUUUUUUAAAAUUGAGCCAUGUUCCAAAGAACAGGAAUGGACUACUUUUGUGUUCUAGUGUGAUGAAUAAAUUUACAAUUUCUAAACAUCUUUGUGAGUGAGAAAUAAAGCAAAGCACCUAUAUAACAAGGAA
This is a long non-coding RNA of Xenopus tropicalis (tropical clawed frog), 1483 nucleotides long. RefSeq lists it as uncharacterized. The record is from RefSeq and is a predicted model, not a curated record. The transcript is spliced from 2 exons. NCBI's taxonomy places the organism in Eukaryota, Metazoa, Chordata, Amphibia, Anura, Pipidae.